RNAcentral lists this ribosomal RNA (22 nucleotides) under uncultured fungus. RNAcentral's name for it is "partial 18S ribosomal RNA". Lineage: Eukaryota; Fungi. The record is from RNAcentral.
UCGAGGGGGCCAACGGAAGGAU